AAGAAUUUAGUUGAGUUUACAAUAAUAAAUUGCAGAUUUAUAGGAGUCAUUACAAUUCUUU
RNAcentral lists this transfer RNA (61 nucleotides) under Haemadipsa crenata. Its description in RNAcentral is "tRNA-Cys". The record is from RNAcentral. Lineage: Eukaryota; Metazoa; Annelida; Clitellata; Hirudinida; Haemadipsidae.